CCUUGCAUGUAUUGGUUAACUAUUUAAUUACUACAAGCCUUUUCUUCAUGGUUAAGUAUUCUAUAUACCCAGAUUGUAAAUUGUAAUUACUAAGUAACAGUGGCAGCUGUAUUGAUAUACAUAAACACACCUUUAUUUUAAUCUUCUCAGAUCUGUUAAUUUAGCACACGGCUUCUCAAACUGGGGGUUGUGACUCCUCAGCAGGCCAUGAGGUUAUUACAUGGAGUCGCAUGCUGUCAGCCUCCAUCCCAAACACCACUUCACCGCCAGCAUUUAUAAUAGUGUUAAAUAUAAAAAAAAGUUUAACUUAUUGAGGGGUGGUGGUCAUACUCAGAGGCUUGCUGAAACAAGUGUGCUUGCUGUGAAAGUACAAAUGUUUGAGAACCACUGAGUUAGCAUUAAAAAAAAUUCUGAUCCACUCACUACACAUACAUCCCACUACUGCAACAUCUUAAAAAGAUACGUUAACUGCAAACAUUUGUGAAAUACUGCAGCUAUUUUACUAAAAUAUUCCUCUCACCAGUAAAAUAAUCCACCGCUAUACAAUCCUUUUACAAACACUACUUGGCAAGCUCUUAGCACCAAACACAACUGUUUAAGUCUUCAGCAAACUGGAUUUCUAAAAGAGGUAUUAUAUUAAAUCACAGAGAUUUUUGCAAGCGGUUGACAAGUGUGAAAUAAUUACAUCAAAAAAAAAUUGCUUAACGGCAUAUGCCCUCCCCCAGUAAACAAAGUUCUUUGCUACAGUAAAUGUUUCACAUAGGAACCUGUCUAAGGGUGUGAAAAGAGUUGCUGAUUGCUCUGUACGUUAAUAUGCAUUACAAAUAGUUAUUCACAUUACAAUAUAAAACCACAGUGCACAUGUGCUAAUUCCUGCAGAGGGCUGCUACCUGGAUGCUGCUUUUUAAAACCAAAAUUUACUCUACUAGGCUGAAGGACAGAUGAUUACUUUAUCUUGAGAUAACACUUCUGCUGUCAGACAUGCAAGAUCGACUAUCAUGCUGCAACUGGAACCACAAGAAAAAACAACUGUUUGCUAUGUGACAAGUUUAAGAUGAAGGGCAAAGCAAGACUCACACAAUAUGACUCCAUAAUAAUUUCUUAUUAGGAAGUACUAUUCCCCCCUCUUGUGGAAAACUACAGCCCCUGCCUGUGGAUGACUCAGGGUUGUAUGGUGAAGGAGGCUGUUGUCUGUGGGACCCCUGCCUCACAGAACUGGAAGCAGUAGAGUGAAUGUGGCAGGGGAUUGCAGGAAGAGGAAGAAAAGUCUCAUGGUUAAGGCAAUUGAAUGCUGUCCUGGAAAAGUGGAUUCCAUAUUUGCCUUUGCCACAGAGUUCCUCUGUCACUUAAACCAAGCUUUCCGUAAGUGGCCACUAACUGUGUUCUUCAUGUUUUGGGGGCCAAACUUGAUACUCUGGGGUCUGAUUUGCUAAAGUAUGAUGAACAUGCACAACUGCAACCGAAGUUGAUAGGAGCAGUGCUUUGAGCAUACAAAAUGCUAAAUAAUGUAAUGUUAAGUACUUUGAGGGAAAAAAAAAUAGUCAGGCCCUUGACAUCUCAAAUUAGAACCCAACAUUGGUGGAAACUUUUGACCUUACUCUCUCUGUCUCAACUUCCCACAUGUAAACUAGAGAUAAUACCAUCCACUCACUGCACAGGGAUGUUGUGAAGAUAAUAAAUUCAUGUUUGUGAAAAACUCAGAUACGAUAAUGAUAAAUGCCAUAGACCAGUGGUUUUCAAACUUUUUUUCUGGUGACACAGUUGAAGAAGAUUGAUGCGGCAAAGCAGGCAUGCUAAGGCAGCCUUCCUGCCUACCCUAGCACUGCAGACUGCGCUGCGCCCUGGAAGUGGCCAGCAGCAGGUCUGGCUCCUAGGCAGAGGCAUGCAAGCUGCUCUGUGAGGCUCUCGCCCGCAGGCACCACACCCCCACCUCCUGGUUCCCACUGGCCAGGGGCCAGUACUUGGGGUGGGGGCAGCGUGCGGAGCCCCAUAGCACCCCCACCUAUGAGCUACUGCUGGCCACUUCUGGGGCACAGCGUGGUGUCGGAACAGGUAGGGACUAGCCUGCCUUAACAGGGCAGCACCGCCAAUGGGACUUUUAACGGCCCGGUCGGCGGUGCUGACCAGAGCCCCCAUGACCCAGUGCCUUACAUUCUGUGACCCAGUACUGGGUCGCAACCCACAGUUUGAAAACCACUGCCAUAGACAAGCCCUUAAGGAAAUUAAUAAUUCUGUCUUCAGAGCUGAGUUUGAAUGUGUGCAUUAAAACUGGGUAUAGAGUCAUGCAAUAAAGUAUUUUACUUCCUUGA
Gopherus flavomarginatus (Mexican gopher tortoise) is the source of this 2309-nucleotide long non-coding RNA. RefSeq lists it as uncharacterized. Lineage: Eukaryota; Metazoa; Chordata; Testudines; Testudinidae. The record is from RefSeq and is a predicted model, not a curated record. The transcript has 3 exons.